UACCAGUGCACCAGCAGAGUCCUGACCUGACCUCCCAGUCCCAUCCCUGUAAGCUGCUGCGAUACCAAUGGUGGGGAAAUGGCUUCACGGCUAUGCUCCACCACAGAAGCGAACAUUAGACGAAGAAGAGAUUAAAGGUAAGGUCACUGCCCAGAGGAUCCUGGCUGAGACCGUAUAAAAUGGUGUCAUUUACACCUUUUUCAGGGUCAGUUUGAUCUGUUGAUGCAGUUCAGGAAAGAAAGAGUCUGACAGGAAGUAGGCCACAUCCAUACCAUUAUUAAAACAAGAAUUUGAAUUAUUUGUGAAUUAAAAGAAAACAUUUUAAAAUCAAGGCGUCUCAUCUGCUACUAGUGUGGUCCUUUAAAGCCUUUUAUAGAACUAGGUAUCUUAAUGACUAUUUGCUCCCACAUUUACAUGCCUAGCUAGUAAGAUUAUUAUUUUUCCAGAGCCCUUACCUCCUGCAAUCAGGUUACCAGAGGUAUGAUCAGGGAUGUUUUGAGAAGAUUGAGUGAUUAUGUAGACAAAAAGAAGAAUAAUUUUCUAAUUUUUGGCUGUCAGCUUCUGGGUGGGUGGCGCAGCUUGCAGUCAAACUACCUGCUUUGUUUGUGCUCUCUCUCUCUCUCUCUCUCUCUCUCUCUCUCUCACACACACACACACACACACACACACACAGGCAUAGUGGAGCAACAGUGUGGGGGGCCUUUUGCAUAAAAGUGCAUGUUCUACCUAUAAGCUCUGUAGCCACUUCAUCUAGUACCCCAGUAGGGAUAAUGGAGUUUGCUGGAGGGGACAAGCCUAGCAAAUAAUACAUUGUUAGCAGGGGCGUCUUGCCCAUAGAGGCAAGUGGCAUAGGGCGCCAAGUUCUGGAGGGCAUCAGGGAAGAGGCAGAGGCUGGAUGAGGUGCCUCCCAGCAUCAGCUCACUGCCCUCGCCCGCCUUGCUGAAGCAGCGCCGUGCCCCGGAGCCUCCGCCUCUUCCCCGCCGGAGGAGCCACCCUCCAGCCCCUGCCUGCCUCCUCCAGCCCCACAAAGCUGCUGGCAACGACAUAAAAAGGUGGACAACUCUGGGAAAUGGGGGGGGGAGGCCCACCGGAGGGAUCUUUGCACCACGGCACCGGAUAUACAGUGGUACCUCAGGUUACAUACGCUUCAGGUUACAGACUCCGCUAACCCAGAAAUAGUGCUUCAGGUUAAGAACUUUGCUUCAGGAUGAGAACAGAAAUUGUGCUCCGGUGGCGCAGCGGCAGCAGGAGGCCCCAUUAGCUAAAGUGGUGCUUCAGGAUAAGAACAGUUUCAGGUUAAGAACAGACUUCCGGAACAAAUUAAAUACUUAACCUGAGGUACCACUGUACUUAAGAAGGCCCUGUUUGUUAGGUAGGUUCAGCUCAGACUGAGACUGGCUGAAUAUUACUCAGUGAAUUUCUUAGCCGAUCAGGGCUGUAAACCAGCUCUCCCCAAACAAAGCCCAUCCUUCUGCCUACCACAGUGUAAAGGAUACUAUACUAUGCUUUCUCAGCUCACUAUUCUCUUACGCAAGUGCUCCUAAUGAAUUACAGGUGCUGUAUACUACUGCUCUCUGGUAUGUAUCAAUAAAGUUAUACACACAUGUAUAUAGAUCCACAGCUGUGCAUUUUUGGACCUUAUUGGAGGCAUGCCUGGGGGAUGACAAAAUGAUUUCCUACACAUCAAAAUUUACCACUAUGCCACUGGUGUGUGAACAUGCAUGCCACCAAACUAGUAGUUGAAAUACAGCUCUCAUGAUAUUCAGUGCAUAGGAUUGCACUGUAAGAUAUAGAGUUGCCAUAUGUCCAGGAAAACCCAGACAUGUCCUCCUUUGGGGGGCCAACAUGCCCAUCCAGGUGAUUUCUUUUACAUUUUAAAGGAAAUGUCUGGGUUUUAGGUGUUUUUUAGGCUUAGGCUUGGGCUUAGGCUGCUCUGAACAUCAAGACUGCUGGCGGCCCAAGCUGUGGAAAGAGGUACACAGGCACGGCGGCAGCCCCAUGUGGGUGCACCCGCUCACCUCUUUCCCCAACUUGGGCUGGCAGCAGCUCAGGCUGUCUUCUUUUUUGCUUUUAAGAUAUGGAAACCCUAGAUAAUAAUAUAUGAACCUCAAAUCUUAAUGAAAGAACCAAACUUCAUUUUUCUCAGUUUCAAGCUUAAGUAUGAAUUGUUUCUUUCUUUAAUGGUAAUUUUAAAAUGCAAUUGUCAGUCAGUACUUACAGGUUUCCUUUUUUCAGAAAGUGUUUCUGCCCCCAGUGGCAGAUCAGCUUUUCCGUUUCAAAGGUUUUCCAAAUGAAAGCAAAUUUUGAUUUAUUUAGGAACUGAUUUCUCUUCCUAAAUCCAGGUUCCAUCAUGAACCUCAAACAGUAUUUCACUGCAGUGAUGCAGAAGAGGCUAUAUUACUAUAAACUUGUCUGUAAUUCCCAUUUCCUUAGAUGCGUGUGUUCAGGAAUUCAGCAAAUUGUUGGUGUUCAGUGGAAGAUAGGCAGGUUUCAAUUUGGCACAUUAUUAAACUCAAUAACAAUAAACAAGUACCGGUAAAUAUAAAACCUCAAAAUGUGGCAAUACUGCAACAUUUAUUUUGAACUAUUCACAAUGCAUUGGGUCUGGACCUAGUCAUUCUUUGUGCAGACGAAGUAGAAUCAAUGCACUGUAACUUGGUUGAGAUUAACUGGGUCUGUUGUUUUCAAUGAAUCUGCUCUAAGCAAGAUUAAAGCCUGGAUCAAACCCAUUGUUUUAUUAUCAUUGAAGAAUAUGCUAAGACAGAAGGUUGCUUAACACAUACUUUUGCAUGCUUUAUAUUUGAUAACUAGUCAAUGCUGAUUGUCAGUAGAUUUUAUGAGAGUGUUUAUCAUGGUGCAUAAUAAUAAUCAUUAUUCAUUCAAGAUGCUAUAGAUUGGAUAACUGGCAACACAAAUCUCAGCUUUUUUCAUGAAAUUUUAUUGACGCUUUUUCAUAAUCUUUCAAAGUCUUAAUGUCUUCUCAGCAUUUCUUAUCAAAGCGUGUUCCUUUCCCACAGGGUCGGCAAACUAAGGCCUGGAUCCAGUCCACCAGGCUCAUAAAUCCGACCUGUGGACCCUGCCACCCACUCAGUCAGUCCCCGCACGCUGAGCUAAGCCGGCGUAGCAUGGUGUUUCCUUCAGAAGAAGCUGUGGAAGCCUCGCCGCAUGGGGACUGACUUCCGCAACACUGGCGCAGCUUCGGAUUGGCUGCAGGAAGCUCCUGUAGCCAAUCCAAAGCCGUGAUGUUUGGAUUUCUGCGCAGGUGAGGCGACGGCGUGGAUCAGAGCGGAGGCGGUGCUGCCACCCCCAGCACCUGAGCAAGGCUUUCCCAAUGGCAACGGUGCACACUUGGCAAGGGCCCCUGGCUUCCCCUCGGCCUCCUCAUCUGAUGCCUCUUCCUCCUCCCCUGCCAUUGCUGCUCCUGCUGCUUCUCCUCCAGGUUUAGGCAUGGCCACUCAUGUCAAUGGGUUUAGGAUUGAGUAAAAAGUAGGGGAGCGACUUCCAUGUAAAUACGCAUUUCACAAGUACAGGCUGACAGUUAUGGUUUGGAGAUUUAGCAGUCAGCUUUUAUUUUUUUUAAGGGCAUGGCUGGGGCAGGAUGGCAUGGGCGAAGGAGCUCCAGGAACUUCAGCCACCUUUUCUUGGAAGCCUGUGGCUUCAUAUCUCUCCUACCUCAGUUCAUUAAGAUCAUUAAAGGCAUAGAUCCAUCACUUUUAAAAUAAUAAAAAAUGAAAAUGUCAGAAUGCUUAUGUCCUGUUUUUUGUGCACUACAAAUAAAAUAUGUGCAGUGUGCAUAGGAAUUCGUUCAUAUUUUUAAAAACUAUAGUCCGGCCCCCGACAGUGUUUGAGGGACAGUGAACCGGCCCCUGUUUAAAAAGUUUGAGGACCCCGGGUAUAGACUAUGCACACAAACUUUAUGGACUUUACACCUGAGUAACUAUGCAGAGGAUUUCACAAUGAAAUUCCCUUUCUAGCAGUGGGGGCUACUUGACUCACGAAGCAGGUAACAUAAUAAAGCAAAGCCGAAUAUUUUUUAGUGUAAAAUAAAGGAAAUUCCAGUAAGUCUGGUAUUAAAAGUUCCUAUAAUGAAAUAAUAGUAUAGCUUUAUUGGAUUCAACAACAGAAAAAAGUAACAGCCAAAUUAAAUGAACAGCAUUGAUCAUGCCUGAUUGACUGAUGUUUGAAGACAGUGAUUGAGAUCAAUGUUUGAUUAAAUAUUCAUGAUGUUAGUUGCAGGGAAUAUUGAACGCCUUAACAGCAAAAUCAAUUCAUUAACUUUAUUAAUGAGGCUUCACAAUUGUUAACUGUCUCUGCACAGUUCUUCUAAGAAUAUAUUAAAGAAGGAAAAAAUAUCUAAACUGUCUUUGUACAAUGGCAACAAUGCCUGCAAUCCUCUAUCCUCUUACAUGAGAGUAAGCCCCAUUUCAUUCAACAUGACUCUCUUUUGAGUAAAGGAUUGCACUGUGCCCACCGCCAUGAAAAUAUGUCUCAGUAAAGUUAAUGGGAGGUUCUUCUGAGUAAACAUGUACAAGAUUGCGCCACAAGGGAAUUAUCCCUAACAAAACAGAAAUUGCAGAUUUAUUUUUUAAAAAUACAUUAGCUAAAACACAAAUAAUAUUUCUAGGUCUCCAUGCUCAAACCCCAAACUAAAGUCUGCAAUUGUAGAUGAAUUUGCUAAGGAGUAAGGAUAGGUGGUGCUGUGGUCUAAACCACAGAGCCUAGGGCUUGCCGAUCAGAAGGUCGGCGGUUCGAAUCCCCGCAGAGGGGUGAGUUUCCGUUGCUCGGUCCCUGCUCCUGCCAACCUAGCAGUUCGAAAACAUGUCCAAGUGCAAGUAGAUAAAUAGGUACUACUCUGGCGGGAUGGUAAACGGCGUUUCCAUGUGCUGCUCUGGUUCGCCAGAAGAAGUUUAGUCAUGCUAGCCACAUGACCCGGAAGCUGUCUGUGGACAAACGCCAGCUUCCUUGGCCAGUAAAGCCAGAGAUGAGUGCUGCAACCCCAGAGUCAUCCGCGACUGGACCUAACAGUCAGGAGUCCCUUUACCUUUAAGGAUAAGUUAACCCGCCAGUUUUGGUAUCUCUCACAUUUUCAUAUUUCCAGUUUUAAGUUCAGUUCUCCACAUUUCCAUAUAAAUUUGCAAAUGUUUCUUUAAAGUCCUCAUGAAAAUUCAUCAGCAUUCUCAUAUAAAUUUCUCCUAAUAUAGCCGCUUGAAUGCAAUUUUGCCUAAUACAGUAUGCAUAUUUUUGCAAAGCAGUUUCCCCUAACAUUUCUGUUGUUUUCACUAAUACAUGCAUUUUAUGCACACACUGCCCUAGUAUAUGCUGUUUUGUCCACAUUAAAAAAGGUAAAGGACCCCUGACAUUUAAGUUCAGUCGCGAACGACUCUGGGGUUGCGGCGCUCAUCUCGCUCUACAGGCUGAGGGAGCUGGCGUUUGUCUGCUUCUGCAGACAGUUUUUCUGGGUCAUGUGGCCAGCAUGACUAAGCCACUUCUGGCAAACCAGAACAGCUCAUGGAAAUGCCAUUUACCUUCCCACCGGAGCGGUACCUAUUUAUCUACUUGCACAGCUGUGUUUUGCUUUGCAUAUUAAUUUCAGUAGUUCUGCCUUUAAAUGUGAACUGAACUGAAUUCCUCACUCAUUCCUACUAGGGAAGUAAGCCUCACUGUCUUACAAGUGAGUGCUGAACUACAGAGAUUUCUGAACUACCAGCCCCAGGAAGCAUGGCCAAUGGACCAGAAUGAUGGACUUGUCAUUCAGCAAAAUCUGGAUGACCAAAGGUUCUACACAACUGUUGAAUUAAAUGGACUAAAAGUAGGACUUACUACUGAGUAAGCAUGCAUAAGAUUGCACUGCAAAUAUUACUGGGGGGGGGGGGGGGUAAAGGAAAGUAACUGCAGGAGCUUGGCACCAGAUACUGUAGGUCCAUACUUCAGUACUUUGGAGGCCAGCUUGCAGUGCCUCAUGGAGCAAGGUAAGACUAUUGGGGUGGGCAUGAUGGAUUAGCAACUUGCCCUUUCCCAGGACCCUGCUUGAUUUCCCUGCCUGCCAACCCCGCUGCUUCAGUAAGAACCUCUUUUGUCCCCUCCCUCCUUCUGGGCGGCAAGGAGGCCAUUUCUCAGAGUGAUAAAUUGUGUGUGAUGUGCCAAGGAGAGUGCCUGUAUUGCGGUUUGCCAUGUGGCUUGGAAUGCUCUUUAAAUUUAGGGGGGGAAGCUUAAAAUACCAAAUAACAUUAAGCCUCUACCCCCCCCCCCAAGUUUAAAGAGCAUUUCCACUCACUGUGGCAAACUGAAGCAGCACAGCCACUCUGCAAACCACCUCACCCAGAAUGCAUCAUUUUCAUUUAGUCCUUUCUAGAACAAGGGGGGAAGUUGUGGGAGACCCAGUGUUGCUACUGGUAACACAGUGGUAAAAGGGAAGAAAGUAAGCAUGUGGGGGGAGAGAGGGGAGGGGAUGCAACAGGGCCUCAGGAGGUGCAACGUCUUGUGCUAGCCCUGUCUGCACUGAACGUUAUAAUAAAGGCAGGAACACAAGAUACAGGUUAAUCUGGAUGUUAACAAAUGCACAAACUACUUCCUCAAUUGUGCUUUGCAUAUCUUUAAAAAGAACAAAGCUUGCAAAUACUGCAAACUAAUGGUUCUGCAUAUUCUACCAGUGCCAGGCUUGAAUAUAAUCUCUGCAAAAUAAUCUUCCUUUGGUCUUUGCUUUAUUUAAUUUUCCUGAUAAGUGGUGUGAGCUCUUCGAAUGAAGACGAGACUGGGACUUUAAAUACAAUCUGGACAUAAAAUACUAUGCAAAUUACUAAAAAAAUUAUAAACUGAACAGACUUAGAUAAAUACAUCCUCCCCCCCCCCCCCACUCUUUUAGAAAUGACUGCAUUGUUGCAGUGAAGUCUCCGGCCCAUUAUUUACACAAAUAAUCCUUUCUGUCAAUGUUCAUUAGUUAACAAAACAAAAAUUAAUUAAAGGUUUGAUUAAACAAAGAUUUAGAUAUCUAUGCUUUGAGAAAGAUUAGAUCCUCAGAUCACUUACUGUUAUUCAACUCUUCUCAUAAUCAAAACAAAAGAUAUGUAGAAACAUUAUCCAAGAUGUACUGAGCAAAGGAUCAUUGGAAGGAAUUUGGUAGAAAAUAUUUUUUUAAAAAAAUUAUUUUAUAAUGCAGUUAGAAAACAGCAAGAAGCAGAUUUUCAGUGUAUUUAUUCAUUCUAAGAUUUGGUAACCAGCAUAAUAAUAAAUCAUAAUAAUAGUAAUAUACUAAAAAUCAAUAAACUAUCAAAACUUAAAUGGAAAACCAAAGCACAAAAGAAUAAUUAAAAAUACGAAGUUGACAACAGCAGAGUCAGUAUAGACAUAGAUCAGAUUCAGUCAGUUAUUUGGUGCCAUAGACAAUAUAAAUUCAGUAUAUAUUAAUUAAACCAGUGAUGUGGAACCUACAGCCCAUGGGCCAAACUUUGCUCACCAGGGUUUCUCCCCAAACCAUGCCCACCCAUCCAGCAGCUGACUGAUGAUGUCAGCUAAUGGGCAGGAGGGGGGGAAUUAAUCCUGUGUUGGCUGUGUGAUCCCAUUCCCAGCACAGUAUAGGAUCGUACAGUCUGGGCAGCAGGAUUUAUUCUACAUUCAUCACAGAUCAGCCAAAAUCAAAGAUGGGAGAGAAAUCAAAGUGAGAUUGGGAAUUCAAAUGGGCUCACAUAGACGUUUUCAAGUCUCUGCCUAAAUUCCUGAUCUCAAGCAAAGACUGAACAUUGGAGAACUCUCCUUGUUGCAUUAUUUCAAACUGCACCUCUUUCUCUUCCCUUUCUUUUCAAGAUUAGUUUAAAAGAGGGAUUACAAAUAAAGAUUGUAUUUUAGAUGGCUGAAUGUAUUUUGUUAAAACCCAGUAUUAUUAUAAUUUGAACCUAUCUAGUCAGAAGUAAACAACACUGGAACUUAUUCCCAGGAAAAUACACAAUGCUUGUAAGAAAGUUGGGGCUUAGCUUAGUAGGGGUAUGUGUGAAUGUUUGAAAGGGCCAAGGCUGUUUUGGUCCAGUAUCUAUCCAGCUCUUAGCAGAUAUACAACACAAGCUUCAUUGUGAAAGCAAUGCCAGGGUGUUAGCUAUUAUGUUUAAAUAAAGACUUCAAAAGAAAGUAUUACAUCUAAGAACAAAGAUACUUUCUAGUAUUUUUCUGCUUUCCUCUUUCACUUUUCAUACUUUAUAUAUAACCAGGGGCUACCAUUUGUACUGACAUUUCUGGACUUCAAAGUGAGAGUAUUAAGACAGUGACCAUGUCUGUUACAUAGUGACCAACAUAAGAAAAUGGAAAUGGUGCUACAUCAACAAAAGCAAACAAAUCCUGCUGAUCAUUUACAAUAUUCUAUUUUAUCCCCCAAUAAGAUUGCCAAUAGAACAAAAACCUGGAUAAACAAAUAGAAUUUUAUUUUCACUAUCUCCUUUCUUGUAGGAUCACCCCACAAGCUUGAGGGUAAUUCUUUUCAUGUCACCAUAUAUUAAAAAUAACAAAACACUGUAAUGAAUAGGGAGGUACUUUAUAAUUUUAGAAUAACAGUUGUAUCCAGGUUAGGUUGGUAUCAUGCCAAAUGUUAUGAUAGUAGAAUAUAGUGACCUUUUGUAUUGCUACAGAUGAAAUAUAAGUGCUUGGAAAAUUUAUCUUAAAAAGGAACUAGUUCAAGUUCAUCCUGUACAAAAAGAAACUAGCUUCAAAUCCAGUUUUAAAAAAAGCUAAUAAAACAAAAAAAGCUAAUAAAACAGCAAAAAACCCACAUCAUUCAGCUGCUGAAGUCUAAAAUAUACUUAAGAAGUCUAGGAAAACAUUAGCACACAUACACACAGUGGAUUCAGUUCUUGACUUCACACAAUGAGAGACAAAAGUUGCAGAUAUUUUGUCAUAUGUAAAUUUGUGCCCCCUUUGCAGACAGUGGAGAAGAGCACCAAAGUAAAUCAGGGGGCACACACAAUAAGAUGUCUAACAGAAAGAAUGUCAACUGGUGAAGAUUUCCCCAUAACUAUUUUCAUACUACAAAAGACCCUGCUCAAUUAGGUGAGCAGAUCAUAGGAAGUAUGAGGUUGAGUUGCAAAUCUCUAUUAGGCUGCAAUCUUUAACUUGCCUACUAGAAAGAUAGUCCCAGUAAACUAAGUGGAGCAUACUUCUAAGUAGACAUGCAUAGGAUUUCACAGCUAUUCUCGUUCAUGCUGACUUCUCCUUUUUCUAAUUUCUGUCUUGCAUCCAAGCACUUAUCCAGACUUCUAUUUGUCCUACCUCUUUCCCCUUAAAACCACUCAGACCCUGUGCUUUCUAGAUACAAGCAAAAGUAUGGACUACCCUAAGUUUCCAAAACGCUGGAUGUUUCACAAGACAGAAUGUCACACAAAUUCUCUAAAACUGUUCACUACAGUUCUGAAAUUGCUUUUCUAUCAAGUCCUCUGGGAGUGUGAAAUAAACAUUGACAGGGAACAGCUAAAGCAUUUAUUUUUUGCUGAUGACUGUAUAAUAUUUGCUAAUGAUACAUACGAAUUAGAGAGGGAAGUUAGCUGGAACAAAAAUAAUGCAAAACAGGAGCAUCAUGAAAUGGCUGCUGAAUGAGUAUUGUCCAGUUCAAAUCAGUGGUGAAGUAAUAAGAGAAGUGGAGAGUUAUGCCCACCUUUGGCCAACACAUGACUAAUAUCCAUACUUUGGGGGGGGGCAUUAAUGCUGCAGCAAAAAGAAAAACAAGAAAGGAAGAGCAGCAUGGGACAAAAUAAAGCCAUCAUUAUCUGAUAAUGAACUGCCAGCUUUAGAGCUCAACCAACAUGUCUGCUAUGAUAUACAGUGUGGAGUACUGGCUGACAACAUUAACUGAUGAAGAAAAAUUAGGUGUUAUACAAAGAGCUAUGAAAUGACACAUGUGAAAUAUCUCUCUUAGUGACGGUAUAUAAAAUGAAGAAAUAUGACAGCACAUGGGUGUAACAGAUGCAAUACAAGCUAUUGGUGACAUCAAGCACAGAUACACCAUCCAUGCAGCCACAAGCAAGAAAGCAGGUGGAUCUCCUGCCAUAUGAGAUGAAAACAUCUUGUCAGACUUAAAAGUAUUAUGGGGUGAUCCAAUAUAAAACUUUUUGUCAGUUCACGCAAACACACUCAGAAAAGAACAUGUAGGCUUUCAUGGGGAAAGAUCAAGUACAAGCAUAUGGUUAAAUCCAUAAGCAAUGGUGAUGAAAGUUCCAGCAGUUUUCAUUUUGUUUAAACUCUGCUUAUAAAAUGGUCUGAAUCAAAACCUUCCCUCAAAACUAUUUCUCAGUCAAAGCAGUGGUAGAACACCUGCAUGGAAAAGGUCCCAGGGUCAGUUCAUAGCAUCUCCAUGUACAGUUGGAACUGAAAUGCUGGAGAGUGGCUACCAGUCAGUGUAGGCAAUACUGUGCUAGAUGAGCCAAUGGUCUGACUUUGUAUAAGACAGUUUACUAUCUGGGAAAGGACCAUAGCUCAGUGGUAGUGUAUCUGCUUUGCAUAAAGAAAGUCCAGGAUUCAAUUUUAAGCAUCUUCUAGUUGAACUAGGAGAGAGCCUUGCCUAAAAUCCUGGAGAGCCUCUGCCACUCAGCAUGGACAGUAUUGAGCUAGAUGAAUCAAUGGUCUGAGUAGAAGGCAGUGUCAUAUGUUCCUUAUGCUUAUGGGAUCAUAUUUCCUUGUUUUUCCUUCUACAAGAUGACCAUUUGCUUCUAUGUUUUAUUUGCUAGUGCUUGAAUCUAAACUUUCCACUUAACUCUUCAGGCUAUUAUUAAGGAAAGAUUUCCAUCUAAAAUGAUAAAAUAUAUCAACACUUGGGGACCUCCAGAAAUGUAUAAGGGGGAUGAGGUCAAAAGAGAGGAAACUUUUUGUUACUUUCCACUCCACCGUCCUCCUGACCAGUUGACUUUCCUCUUUCCACUCCUUUUCUCCUUUGCAUCCAUGCCCAGUUUAUCCAGAGCUUUGGAGUAUCUGAAUACAUAUUAUCAAGUUUCCUGAUCUCUAACAAUCUUGAAGUCAUGUGUUGAUCCUUGGAGAGAAACAAGUUGAGCCAAUUGUACUCUAGCAGUAAUAAGAAACCCUUCUAGUAGCUUAUGGAGUGACGGGCCUAGCAAACAUUUCAUGAGACUGUUCUUGAAGGAUUGAUAAAGAAGCUCUCUAAUUAAAUAAAGGAGUUCAAGGUGCCUUAGUAUCACAUGAAGCCUGCUGUAUAAACUGAGGAGCUCAGGCAGAUUGGAAAGUGGAUGUGAGUCCCUUUGGCAACUGUUUCUCAGACUCGUUCCUCUUCUUGUUUUCAUCAUCUGUGUAUGGUAACUCAGUGAAACAAACUUUCUUUGGCCUACUUGUCAAACUUUAGGCUUUAGCCUCGUACGUAUCAUAGACCUGUCUCAUUGUAAAAUACUAUGAACAGUGAUGGCUCUCUAUAAAUGACAUAUAAUUAUUAUAAUCAUCAACAGCAUAUUCCCCCAUUCAGUAAUUUCCAAAUCAGACUAACAUAAUGCUGCUUAGCAAUUAUUGUUUCAUCUGAUUUCUGAAAGUUCAGCUAAUCAAUUCCCUGUUGGCUUAACAAUGCUACUUAUUAAAUCCUAAUAAUUUUAACAGUGUCAUUAUAUCCAUGACCUCUUCACAUUUUAUUUUAGUUUGCUAGGCAGUUAUUUUAAUAAUUAUUCUACCAAUUACAUGUGUUGUGUUCCAAUGUCAUUCAGAAAAUCCUAAAACUCUAUCGGCAGAGAUGUUCUGAGUUCAGCUAGAAAAAAGUUUGUCUUUGUAUCUCAUUACAUGUUCUUCUCUUCUCCCUGGGAGAGUCCUGGUUUUGAAGCAGGCUGCUGCAAGUAAAUCACUGCAGUGGGAAAGCUCAUUUUAAGUGUUUGCUUUUAUUUUAUUUUUAUUGUACAUGUAUGAGUUCAAAGGAUAGAAUAGGAAGGAAGGGAAGGAAGAAUGGUAUGCCUAAACUAGGGCAUCAUCUUUCACCUCCAGGACAAAGCACACAUUUCUGGUAUGAUCAUAUGUCAGCCUCUAUAUUUCAAGGGAUAACAGUGAUCCACCAGAACUACCACUCAGUUAAGAAGGAAUGUCAUCAGAGGUUGGCAGUGUUGGGUACUAGCCAUUACUGCUAGUAAUAAUGUGAGCAGUUGAUUUCUCUUUCUCUCUCUAGCUCUUUGUCUGCAUUUUAUUUUUAUUAAAUUAGUUAUAAACCAUUAUUAAUAAAGCUCCAAAGUGACCAAAUUCAUAUAAUUCUGAGUUUUUGAAAAUAUUGUAUCUGCUGAUUUUACAAAGUAGUACACCUCUUUGUUUAAAAAGCAUAAAGAGUCUGCCUUAAGCUUUGCAUUUAUUGAUAUUAGUAUGUUUUGAUCAUUAAGGAGAGAUACAGCUAGAACUCUGGGAGGAAGAGAAGAGGGAUGCAGGCUCAAUGACAUUCAUGUUAGAACUGUAAUUGAGUGUAGCAGUCUGUAGGCCUCUAUUGAGUUUGAGAAUGGUUUCAACAAAAGAAGUUGAACUUUCUACAUCACCCUGGUCUUUAGCCUCUUCUGAUUUAGCAUUUAAAAUCACAGUCCUAAACUGCAAACACCUACUGCAAUUGAUGGCCAUCUGUUUAAUCUAGAUAUGCAGAUUGCAACAGCAUAAAAUUAACAGAUGGAGAGUGCAAUAACCCAAAUAGGAUCACUGUAUUUUCAGAGUGACCAUAAAAAUUUAAAUUUUACUGAUCCAUUCACAUUUUCUGCCAUUUAGUAUCAUCUAGCCCAUGCUGAUAGGCCAUCAGCAAUGGGAUCUUCCUCUGGGGUUUCACUCGGAUAAAAGCAGAUGAUUAUUUCUUACUCUCUUGGCCAUACUAAAUGGAGAGUUAACUGCUCAGUUAAAGAUUGCUACAGCAGAAAAAUUAUUUUAAAAGCAGUUACUUCCAGCUAGAUCAUUAUUUAAUGUACACUCAGAGGACACACAGCACUUUGGAAUAGACACAAUUUGGAAAGGUAAGGCCAAUAAUUUAAUUUUCAAAUUUUUAUUUUAAAAAUAUUUUACAAAAUAUAAUCCCAUAGGCAAUAAAGGAUUGGUGCAAAAGGAAAUACAGUGGUUGGGUUUUUUAUUUUUUAAAAAAGGCUAUUCCAAAUGCUUUCUUUGAAAAUAUAUCAAACAUCCAAUUCAAUCAUCCAAAAUGGCCGACAAACCCGUGGGUUCUGGCUGCUGGAGAUGGUGGUUGAGGGUGAGGAGCUGCAACUGCCACUCACCCGAGAAAGGGGCGAGCAACCCUUUAUAUCAAAUUCCUCAGUUUGCUCACAAUACAGGAGAAAUCCGCUAUGGCAGUGAGAUGAGAAAUAUUAUUUGAAUACCAAAAUGCGUUAGCAGCAAAAUUGAUUUCAAAAACUGAUUAUUUUAUUUUAACUGAAGAUAUACAAAAUUACUGUAAGAAUUUCCAAAAGGGUAAGAAACUAGGCUCUGUUCAUUUCGUAUGGCGAGCAAAAAGCACUUUCUGCCCAAAAUGCAUCUUAGCAUUCCUGUCUGCAUCAUGCCAGUAAUAAUUUGAUCCCCUUUGUUUCAGUUUGCUGAUCUCUUCUUCCCUUUAUCUGCAAUCACAAACACUAUUUGUGCCAACCUAAGUACAAACCUAAGUAUGAAACUUAUGCUUGAUCAAUAUGCAAACACUGCGUGCAUAAACUGUCCACUUGCUCUUUGUUGAAAGAACAUUUCCACAAGUGUCAUUCAUUGGGGGACAUGGAAGGUUAUAGGUUAGAAUCCAACAUUGUGCAAGUGGACUUGCAGUUGCCAAAUAGAACUUCACUCUUGCCUUCCCCAAAUCUGCUCUAUAGGAUCCCCCAACAAUCUAGAGCAGAUUUGGGGGAGAGGGAGAGGAAGUCCCAUUGCACAAGAAGUCCAUUCAGCUCAUGUGCAGACACCAUUAGAUACAACCCAUUGUGUUUCCAUUAUUUUUAUAUCACAAAUUUCCCCUCUGAAUAACAUAACACUGAGAAAUGGCUGCUUACCCACAGCAUUAAACCAGUGUCGUUCAAUUGAAACAAUGAUAUUUUCGCCAGUUGGUUAUACUCAAAUAUCAGAUCAUGGGAAUACCGUUAAAUGUCUCCUAAAUAGCUGCAUUUACAAGACAAUUAAAUGUGUGGUGUCAUCUGCAGGAAAGGUGUAGAAUCCAGAUUAAAUGGAUACCAUUAUAGGGCAUAAAGUUAUCUCUAUAUUGAUUUCAUAUAAUUUAAAGCACUAGAUAAUUGCAGGCAUGGGCUCCACAUUGCCAAUAAUUGCUGAGUGAUAUAAUUUAAAAUGCUUGUAAAAUCUAACAAUCUACUGUUUUUAGUUUCAGUUCUAGCUAUUAAAGUAUUACUGAAAAAUAUACACUUUAUUUUUAUGGCGGCAUACUCUAGAAAGGUAGAUUUUAUUACUGUUCAAAUUGGCAUGUCAAUGUUUAUUUAAGAGAGGUUCAUGAACGUCAAGAGCAUCCUUGAACAAUUAGCCCUUCAACUCAGGGAAGCUGUUACAUUAUUGUUCAUAUGUAGGCCAUUUCCAAAAUUCAGGGGACUUGUGCCUGUUCGAUUUAACCUAGGUGAAUGCCUGCAAUAAUUAAAUCUUCCAUUGUUACCUGACAUUUACCCCUUAAAAAUUUGAAGGCUUGAUUACUGCUAUGCACUGCAUAUGGGGUUGGACUGGAUGGCUGUCUAGAAGUUUGAACUGUUACAGAAUUUAUCAGUUUCCAGAAUUUAUCAGUGACCACAAGUGAUUACUGGAGCUUAUCACUACCCUAUGUCGGCUACAUUUAUAGAUUUUGACCUAAUAGUAGUGAUAGUACAUUUAUAUUAUAUUAUAUUAUAUUAUAUUAUAUUAUAUUAUAUUAUAUUAUAUUAUUAUAUUAUAAUAUACUGCUAAGCAGUAAUAAAUAUGAUUUAAUUGUGGAUAAGGGGCCUGAACUGUUUUCCAUUCAUUAGACAUGGGUGGGGGAGGCAGGAGGAGUUCUGUCUCUCAGCAGUGCCCUUCUGGGUGUUCUGUACAGCAGCAGUAUCACAUGAGGGUUAAGCAUGCAAUACACGGGAGUGCCUCUGAAAAACAUCCAGAAACAUCAGCUGCUUGAAAACUGGCCGCAAGAUUAUUAAUGGAAAAUUGUAGGUAUCAGCUGUUUCGUCAGCUGCACUGGCUUCCAGUCCAUUUCUGGACCCAAUUCAAAGGAUGGCUUAACAGCCAUAAAAGCUGAGAACUGGGUUAAUUGAUAGAUUGCCUACUUCCAUUUAUACCUGUUUAAAUCAUUAAAACCUCAGUAUUCUUAAGAGUGUUCUGGGUUCCAGCUCACAGAGACAGCUGUCCCACUGCAAAUGUGCAGGUGCUCCCAAGGCAGCUUUGGGGUGGGGCCAACAGAGGGAUAGAAUAGGGAAAAUGUGCACAUCCUUAGUCUCCUGCCUCACAUACUCAGCACUAUGUGUCCUGAGGUAGAUGGGCAAAUGCAGCUUCCUAUGACCUAUGGUACUUUCUACAAUGUAAUGUGGUUUAGUCUAGAAAUGUUAGCUGGUAUGAAAUGCUACAGCCAGUUUGUUGACUGAUCUGCUACACAUAUGUGGUUCAUGCUACAUUGGUUGCCAGUGGGACCCCAUGCUGGUUGGGUAUCUUCUUCCAAAUGUUCCUCCCUGUUUGAGGCCUUGCCCAUUGGUGUUGAGAAAGAUGGUUACUAGGAGCAGAAACUUUUUGGUAGUGGCACCUACCCCAUGGAACUGCCUUCUAAGUGAAGAUCCAUAACACCCUGACAUUUUAGACCUUUAGGUAUUUGACUAAAACUUGGCUGUUUUAAAGAGGCAUUUCAAUUAAUGUUUUUAGUCUGAUAUAUCUUCCCUUAUGUGGAUUAGUUUUCAGUUUUCCAACAUUUGUUGUUUGAUUAUGCGGUUUUUAUCAAUUUAUUUUUAUUUUGUUUCUGUUCAUACUGUUGACAUGUUGUUAAGCUGCUCGUGAACUGCUUUGAUUCCACCUGGUGGAUAAAAGGAUGAUGUAAGUGAAAAUGAUGAUGAUGAUGAUGAUGAUAGCAAACACAGGUGCAUAAUAAUUAUGUUAGAUGCUGCUACUAGCUGCAUAACAAUAUUUCUGCAUAUCUCUAGUUUUAAAAGACAGAUUUUACAAUUUGCAAUCAACGAAAAAAAGCUCCCAUUCCUUUAUACUUUACCAUAAUCCCGAUCAAAUAGACAUGAAUUCUGCUUAAAUGAAAGUUGGCAUUCAGACCUAAUGAACAGUGCAGUUCAAGUACUGCUGGGACUUUGUUUGGAUGGCAAGCUCUUUAUUGAAUGUUAUGUAUCUUAAGCGCUUGAGGUGCUCCUGCUGUGAAAGCUUAUCACAAUUUAUCCUUACCAUGUUACUGAGGUGAACACUUAGAUACAAUAAAUUCACCAUGCCAUUUUCAUUAGCAUCUACAGCUUUUUAAAAAUUAUUAUUAGACUACAUAGACACACUGUUGUCUGUGUGCGCCAUGUAACUUACAGCCCCAAAAUAGCAUGCCCCAUUUUGUAUGGCUCCUGGAUUCAAUGGUGUGAAACCCAGACAUAGUUAAGAUGACAGACCUACUGUCAGACACUGACAGUGCAAAGAAAUACAGACAGAUGGAUAACAGAUAGAAGGAUCCUAAGUACCCUACAAUUUAUUGAAGCAAAUAGGAGAGUUUUGAGUGGCAAAUUACCUACACUGUUCACAAACCAGCAGGCAGCCCGGCUUGCCAGCUAUCCAAAUUGUUUCUGGGCAAUUUGGCACAUUUCUACUUUGUUGUGCUAUUUCUUAUGGAAUGACUUUGAGUUUUGAUCAUUCCCUGUUGUGCAAGAUCUGUCCAAACAGAAGCAGAACUUUAGGGAAACUUAUCCUCAGGAACAGAGAAUAUAAAAGCCAUUCUCUAAUAAUAAGAAGUGUGAAGAAGAAGGUGAAAUAAUUUUAAUAGAAUAAAUUAAUUCCGUUAUAGGAUGAAGAGGACACACAGCUCUUUCUCUCUAGCCAAAAUGAAAAAGGUCUGGUAGAUAUACCAAAACUAAGCAUAAGUUGAAAAUCUUUUAGCAAACUGAAACACAUCUCACGGAAGGACUGAAUUAGUUAAAUAAUCAUUUGAAAAUUGCCAGAAUAAAUACAAUACUAAAAAGAUUGAUUCACUAUAAAUGUAUCAAUUUUAUUCUCUACACCUCCCAAUGCUUGCAUGUUACAUGUCUAAAUUAUAUUCAGAAAACUAUUGCAACACAGAAUAUAUGGAAUAUAUAUUUGAUACAAAAUCUUACAGUAGUAAGGAAUGUUGUUGGCCAAAACUUAAGAAUGAAAGCAAAGCCAACAGUAAUAUAUAGGAAUGGAGAGGGGGAAAGUCUGGAAGAAAACAAAUGCUACAUUUGUUUAUUUAUAUUUUAAAAACUUGAGUCACUUCUCUCUUAACAAUGCUCAAAGCAACACUGUAUACAGUGCCACAACUAUCCAUCACAUUAUUUAGUUACAUGUAUGGCAUUGGUUUUAUUGGCUUGGAUCUGAAGGUAUCUUGUGUGGGUGGAAAAGACUUUUGCUUGUGCAAAGCAGCCCUGAUGAAUUCUUCUGAUUUUGCCAUCAGUUGCAGCACCCCCUACAUGCUAAAUCUCAUGCUGUCCACGGGAUUCCUCCAGCGGCAGGUGGGAGGAGAAGGCACUGGAGGCUAUUGAAAGGGACGAGCCUGGAAAGUACCAAUGCACUGUUCUCUGCCUUCCACUGAUUUUUCUUUGCUUCCUUCCCAGUUUCUCUGAAAUAGAUUUUGUUUCUUGUUUAUUUUAUGUAUAGGCUUCAAUUGAAUUAUUUUUGCUAUCUACAUUUAUUUUAUGCCUUGUUUUUAAAUUGUUUUAAUGUGG
Non-coding RNA from Podarcis lilfordi (Lilford's wall lizard), 17786 nucleotides. The record is from the annotation of a GenBank genome assembly. Lineage: Eukaryota; Metazoa; Chordata; Lepidosauria; Squamata; Lacertidae.